Musca domestica (house fly) is the source of this 1141-nucleotide long non-coding RNA. RefSeq lists it as uncharacterized. Lineage: Eukaryota; Metazoa; Arthropoda; Insecta; Diptera; Muscidae. The record is from RefSeq and is a predicted model, not a curated record. The transcript is spliced from 3 exons.
CUAUGAAAAUGUGAAAUGAAAACUUUUAUAAAGGAAAGAAACGUCAAAUGAAAAAUUUUAUAAAGGAAAUAUUUUUCAUUUCAUAUUUUCAUAGAACAAGAAUCCAGCCCCAGGGUUGCAAAAGUAGCAAUUUUACAAUGAUGGUUAUCAAUUACUUUUAAACUAAUUAUUUAUCAAUAAGUUAACACUAAUCAUCAUUUCAUUUUGUUUUGAUCGACAUUUUGUAAAUUCGUGGUGUGAUCUUGUGUUGUUUGAAAAUUAUUAAAAAUGUGAAAUUUAAAUAUUUUAUUGUGCUUUGUAAAAAUGCCGUGGCGUCCUAAUAUUUACAAUGCUCCUGUAUGGCUCAUUAAGAAAAAAAUAAUCAGGUGGAAAUAAUCUGUAUAACCUUUGAAGGUGGAGAAAUUCACUCAAAGACCAUCAAAAUCAGUCGACUCCCGCAGCGAUAGAACUAAACCCGAAAAUGUAAAGAUAUCAAUGACGAACUUGGAUGUGAUAUCGUUGCCGAGAGCUUUUUACAUCAAGUGAGUUCAAAACGACAGCGAACUAAAGCCCACAUCGGUCAAAAGUUAUUGAACAAUGGUCUAGCUUGAACAAAACAGAUUGUAAAAUAUGUUCCUAUUCCAAACGAUGAAAACCAGCUUUCAAAUGAUGAAUCGUUAGCACGUUUGGAUUUAAAAAGAUGCAACAUUCAGCUUAGAUUGCAUGUAAUUCAAAAGGGCUCAAAAUCUGUACACAUGGUAUCACGACAUAAUUGCUGCUAAAAAGAUGCUUGCCCCAGAGAUCAUGUUUCAUAUGAAAAAAAACAAUCCAAACAAUUUCUAUGUGAAAAUGUUUUAGACCCUGAUAUGUUCAAGGUGUCAUUUGUAUUUGCGAUGAAAAGGGAAAUUUGAAUAUGGGGAGCCUUCGACCAGUGUCAUUCACACAGAGGAUAUUUGGAGAAACAAACCGCCAAUAACAAUUAGUGAAGCACCAAAAACAAUUGAAGAAGUGAAACCUCAACGGGCAGAAAAUUAAAGGUGAUUAUCAAUUAGUGUAUUAGAUGGUAUGUGGAAAAGUUGUCCAUGUCCUUUCUGUUUGGAUUGAAGCUAAAUUUAACAAGAUUAUGUCCUGUUCAGUGAACUUUUGUCUAAGGCAGACAAGA